This 350-nucleotide ribosomal RNA is filed under the name Pentametrocrinus sp. GWR-2010. RNAcentral describes it as "partial 16S ribosomal RNA". It matches the Rfam family "Bacterial large subunit ribosomal RNA", at positions 2100 to 2626 of the family's 2925-position model. Lineage: Eukaryota; Metazoa; Echinodermata; Crinoidea; Comatulida; Pentametrocrinidae. The record is from RNAcentral.
UUAAAAUAAAUUUUAUAAAAAAAAGCAAAGCUAAUUUAAACAACUACUAAAACAAACCUAAUAAAACAUAUUUUUGGUUGGGGCAACCUCGAAGAAAAAACAACCUUCGAUAAAAUAAAAAAAAUAAACAAAUUUAAAAACUAAUUAUAAUAUAAAUGACCCGGAAGUGCCGAUCAAAGAAAUAAGUUACCGCAGGGAUAACAGCGUUAUUCUCUUUAAGAGUUCAUAUUGACAAGAGAGUUUGCGACCUCGAUGUUGGACCGGGGCACCCCUGGGGUGCAACAGCCCCUAAAGGUAGGUCUGUUCGACCUUUAAAGCCCUACGCGAUCUGAGUUCAGACCGACGUAAGU